RNAcentral lists this ribosomal RNA (253 nucleotides) under uncultured bacterium. RNAcentral's name for it is "partial 16S ribosomal RNA". It matches the Rfam family "Bacterial small subunit ribosomal RNA", at positions 524 to 776 of the family's 1533-position model. The record is from RNAcentral.
UACGGAGGGUGCAAGCGUUAUCCGGAUUCACUGGGUUUAAAGGGUGCGUAGGAGGGCAGGUAAGUCAGUGGUGAAAUCCCCGAGCUUAACUUGGGAACUGCCGUUGAUACUAUCUGUCUUGAAUAUUGUGGAGGUGAGCGGAAUAUGUCAUGUAGCGGUGAAAUGCUUAGAUAUGACAUAGAACACCAAUUGCGAAGGCAGCUCGCUGGGACGUUACCGACGCUGAGACGCGAAAGCGUGGGGAGCAAACAGG